Molecule: ribosomal RNA, 625 nt
Filed under: uncultured Staphylococcus sp.
Lineage: Bacteria; Bacillati; Bacillota; Bacilli; Caryophanales; Staphylococcaceae
Description: bacterial SSU rRNA
Rfam family: Bacterial small subunit ribosomal RNA
Source: RNAcentral
GCUGGCGGCGUGCCUAAUACCUGCAAGUCGAGCGAACGGACGAGCAAAGCUUGCUUCUCUGAUGUUAGCGGCGGACGGGUGAGUAACACGUGGAUAACCUACCUAUAAGACUGGGAUAACUUCGGGAAACCGGAGCUAAUACCGGAUAAUAUUUUGAACCGCAUGGUUCAAAAGUGAAAGACGGUCUUGCUGUCACUUAUAGAUGGAUCCGCGCUGCAUUAGCUAGUUGGUAAGGUAACGGCUUACCAAGGCAACGAUGCAUAGCCGACCUGAGAGGGUGAUCGGCCACACUGGAACUGAGACACGGUCCAGACUCCUACGGGAGGCAGCAGUAGGGAAUCUCCCGCAAUGGGCGAAAGCCUGACGGAGCAACGCCGCGUGAGUGAUGAAGGUCUUCGGAUCGUAAAACUCUGUCUAUUAGGGAAGAACAUAUGUGUAAGUAACUGUGCACAUCUUCGACGGUACCUAAUCAGAAAGCCACGGCCUAACUACGUGCCAGCAGCCGCGGUAAUACGUAGGUGGCAAGCGUUAUCCGGAAUCAUCGGGCGUAAAGCGCGCGUAGGCGGUUCUCUAACGUCUGAUGUGAAACGCCCACGGUCAACCGUCGGACGGGUCCAUCGGAAAC